RNAcentral lists this transfer RNA (87 nucleotides) under Lentisphaera araneosa HTCC2155. It matches the Rfam family "tRNA". Rfam says of the family: Transfer RNA (tRNA) molecules are approximately 80 nucleotides in length. Their secondary structure includes four short double-helical elements and three loops (D, anti-codon, and T loops). Lineage: Bacteria; Pseudomonadati; Lentisphaerota; Lentisphaeria; Lentisphaerales; Lentisphaeraceae. The record is from Rfam by way of RNAcentral.
GGAGAGAUGACAGAGUCCGGCUUAUUGUGCUCGCCUGGAAAGCGUGUGUACCGCAAGGUACCGAGGGUUCGAAUCCCUCUCUCUCCG